GCAGUUGUUUGGGCUGUCGCUGUGGCUGGUUCUGCGGUGUGCGGCCAGCCAUGGAGCGCUCUGGGCCCAGCGAAGUGACAGGCUCAGACGCAUCGGGACCGGACCCGCAGCUUGUGGUCACCAUGGGCUUCACGGGGUUCGGGGUUCGGUAAAAAAGCUCACACAUUUGACUUGGAAGCAAUGUUUGAACAAACUCAAAGAACAGCUGUGGAAAGAAGUCACAAAACACUGGGUAAGAAGUUCAGAUAUUUGUCGUUUUAUUGGUUUAAGUACUAUUUAUACCUCAUGCAAGUAUAUUAAAAAAGAGAAAAGAAUGUUGGCUGGGCGCCGUGGCUCACGCCUGUAAUCCCAGCACUUAGGGAGGCCAAGGCAGGCAGAUCACCUGAGGUCAGAAGUUUGAGACCAGCCUGACCAACAUGGUGAAACCCCAUCUCAACUAAAAAUACAAUAAUUAGCUGGGCAUGGUGCAGGGGCCUGUAAUCCCAGCUAGUCGUGCGGCUGAGGCAGUAGCUUCAGUUGAAGUUGGGAGGCGGAGGUUGCAGUGAGCUGAUAUCCCCCCAUUGCACUCCAGCCUGGGGGACAAGGGUGAAAUUCCAUCUCAGAGAACAAAGAAAAAAAAGAAUGUUGUUAUGCUACUUGUCACUGUUGGGUUUUUUUUUUUUUUGAGAUGGAGUCUCGCCCUGUUGCCCAGGCUGGAGUGCAAUGGCAUGAUCUCGGCUCACUGCAGCCUCCACCUCCCCAGUUCAAGCGAUUCUCCUGCCUUGGCCUCCCAAAGUGCUGGGAUUACAGACGUGAACCACCGUGUCCGGCUUUUUGGUUUUUGGUUUUUUUUUUUUUUGAGAUGGAGUCUCGCUUUAUUGCUGGGCUGGAGUGCAGGGGUGCGAUCUUAGCUCACUGCAACUUCUACCUCCCCGGUUCAAGCAAUUUUCCUGCCUCAGCCCUCCAAGUAGCUGGGACGACAGGUGUACGCCACCACGCCCAGCUAAUUUUUGUAUUGUUAGUAGAGAUGGGGUUUCACCAUGUUGGCCAAGAUGGUCUUGAUCUCUUGAUCUUGUGAUCUGCCUGCCUCCUAAAGUGCUGGGAUUACAGGUGUGAGCCACCGCACCCAGCCCAAUUUAUCAUUUUAAAACCAACAAUGGGCCAGUUGUAGUGGCUCAUGCCUGUAAUCCCAGCAUUUUGGGAGGCUGAGGUGGGUGAAUCACCUAAGGUCAGGAGUUCGAGACCAGCCUGGCCAACAUGGUGAAACCCCGUCUUGACUGAAAAUAGAAAAACUAUCCGGGUGUGAUGGUGGGCACCUGUAAUCCCAGCUACUAGGGAGGCUGAGGCAGGAGAAUCGCUUGAACCUGGGAGGCAGAGGUUGUGGUGAGCUGAGAUCGCACCAUUACACUCCAGCCUGGGUGACAAGAGCAAAACUCCAUCUCAAAAUAAAUAAAAUAAAAUAAAAUGAAAUGGGCGACAAGAGCAAAACUCCAUCUUAAAAUAAAAUAAGAUAAAAUAAAAUAUAAAGUAUAAAACAAAAUAACUAAAAUAAAAAAUAAAAUGUUGUACAGCAGCAAUAUCCAGUAUUUGGCAGUGUGCCUGACAAAAAAUAUUUUCAGUCUUUGGAAGAAAACUUUUUUGUGGAGAAAAGAAAGCCAUCUACAUGUACUAUUUUUUGAAAAAACCCUUCAUUAUUUGUUUUAUUUGAGACGGAGGCCUGCUCUGUCGCCCAGGCUGGAGUGCAAUGGUGCGAUCUCAGCUCACUGUGACCUCCACCUCUUGGGUUCAAGUGAUUCUCUUGCCUCAGCCUCCUGAGUAGCUGGGAUUACAGGUGACCACCACCAUGCCUGGCUAAAUUUUUUGUAUUUUUAGUGGAGACAGGGUUUCGCCAUGUUGGCCAGGCUGGUCUCGAACGUGUGACCUCAGGUGAUCCGCCUGCCUCGGCCUCCCAAAGUGCUGGGAUUACAGGUGUGAACAACCAUGCCAGGCCAAAACCCAUCAUUAUUAUUAUUGUUAUUAUUGUUAUUUUUUUGAGAUGGCGUCUCACUCUGUCGCCCUGGCUGGAGUGCAGUGGUGUGAUCUUGGCUCACUGCAAGCUCCGCCUCCCGGGUUCACGCCAUUCUCCCGCCUCAGCCUCUGGAGUAGCUGGGACUACAGGUGCCUGCCAACACGCCUGGCUAAUUUUGUUUUUGUAUUUUUAGUAGAGAUGGUGUUUCACCAUGUUAGCCAGGAUGGUCUCGAUCUCCUGACCUCGUGAUCCACUCACCUUGGCCUCCCAAAAUGCUGGGAUUACAGGUGUGAGCCACUGCACCCAGCAAAACCCUUCAUUAUUAUGUGAAAUUUCAAACACGGAAGUAUAGUCACGAACUACCAUGUACCUAUCAAUCAGAUUUAACUACUGUAACAGUUCAUGGCUAGCGUUACUUCUGUUUCCCCUUUCAGAUGAUUUCGAAGCAAAUCUUGGACAUCAUUUUACUCAUAAAUAUUUUUGUAUAUACCUUAAAACGAUAAGGAUUGUUUUAAAAAAAGCUUAGCCAAGAUAUGUGUAAGAGAUAGGAAAAACCAAGUUGUUUCCUAUCCUCUCACACUCCUCUCAGUACUUUCCCCUCCUUUUUUUUUUUUUUUUUUUUUUAAAUUUGAGACAGGGUCUCACUGCUGUUGCUUAGACAGGUGCGCAGUGGCAUGACCUUGCCUCACUACAGACUCCACUUCCCGGGCUCAGGUAAUCCUCCCACCUCAGCCUCCCAAAUAGUUGGGACUAUAGGUUGGUGCUACCACACCCCACUAAUUUUUUGUAUUUUUAGUUGAGAUAGAUUUCACCAUGUUGGCUGGGUGAGGUGGCUCAUGCCUGUAAUCCCAGCACUUUGGGAGGGGCGGAUCACGAGGUCAGGAGAUUGAGACCAUCCUGGCUAACAUGGUGAAACCCCGUCUCUACUAAAAAUACAAAAAAUUAGCUGGGUGUGGUGGCGGGUGCCUAUAGUUCCAGCUACUUGGGAGGCUGAGGCGGGAGAAUGGCGUGAACCCCAGAGGCAGAGCUUGCAGUGAGCCGAGAUCUUGCCACUGCACUCUAGCCUGGGCGACAGAGUGAGACUCUUGUCUCAAAAAAAAAAAAAAAAAUUCACCAUGUUGUCCAGGCCAGUCUUGAAUUCCUGGGCUCAAGUGAUCCACCUGUCUUGGCCUCCCAAAGUGCUAGGAUUACAGGUGUGAACCAGUACUUUAUUUCUGACACCAGAUAUGUAGGAGUUUUCCCCCACACAUCAACCAGUUCUCCAACUGGGUAUCCGGUAACUCACUUUAAUUCUGACACCGUCUGCCUGGAGACUACCACAAGACUGCCUUCACUCAGACACUAAUCUCAAUUCACAGGUUGUGACCAGUGCUUCUAAUCUACUGGCUAUAAGUCAGGGUUCCCAUGACCACUCUUUUUGCUUUGAUAAUUAGCUAGGACGGCUCACAGGGAAACACUUUACUUAUGUUUAACAGUUUAUUAUAAAGAAUAUUAUAAAUGAUACAGAUGAACAGCCAGAUGAAGUAAUGCAUUGGGCAAGGUAUGCGGUGGGAGAGGUGCAGAGCUUCUGUGCCCUCUCUGGGUGCACCAACUCCCCAGCAUCCCCCUGUGUUCAACUACCCUGAAGCUAAUCACAUCUAGUGGUUCAGGAGUGUCUAGGCUGGGUGCAGUGGCUCACACCUAUAAUCCCAGCACUUUGGGGGACCAAGGUAGGAGGAUCACUUGAUCCCAGGAGUUUGAGACAAACCUGGGCUAACACAGUGAGAUCCCGUUCAAAAAAUCUUAUAAAAAUUAGCUGGGCAUGGCGGCGCACACCUGUAGUCCCAACUACUUGGGAGGCUGAGGUGAGAGGGUCACUUGAGCCCAGAGGUUGAGGCUGCAGUGAGCUAUGAUCAUGCCACUGCAUCACAGCCUGAGUAAAAAAGCAAGAGCCUGUCUCAAAAAAAAAAAAAAAAAAAAAAUUUCUAUAGAUCUUAAUUUCCAGCUUCCCCAGAGAUUGGUGGGUGGGGAUGAAAGUUCCAAUUAUCUAACCCGUCAGUUUUUUUAGUGAGCAGCAGUCCCAUCCUGAGGCCUAGGGAUCCCACACUAAGUCACUUCAAUAGCAUAAAUUUAGGUGGGAUCCAAAGGGGCUUCUAAUGAAUAACAAAAGACAGCUCCUAUCACUCAGGAAAUUCCAAGGGUUUCAGAAGCUGUGUGGCAGGAACCUGAAACAAAGACCAAAUAUAUAUAUAUAUUUUUGAGACAGAGUCUCGCUCUGUCGCCCAGACUGGAGUGCAGUGGUGUGAUCUCGACUCACUGCAAGCUCCGCCUCCCGGGUGCACGCCAUUCUCCUGUCUCAGCCUCCUGAGUAGCUGGGACUAUAGGCACCGGGCACCAUGCCUGGCUAAUUUUUUUUUUUUUUUUUUGUAUUUUUAGUAGAGACAGGGUUUCACCCUGUUAGCCAGGAUGGUCUCGAUCUCCUGCCCUCAUGAUCCGCCCCCCUCAGCCUCCCAAAGUGCUGGGAUUACAGGAGUGAGCCACCGCACCUGGCCAAAUAUAUUUCAUAUUAUGCCACAAUAUCAUCACAUCAAAAAACAAUUUUAAUAUCCUCAAACGAUAGACAAAGACAUGCUAUCUGAGGCAUUUACAAAUGUUUUAAACAAUUUAGUGAAUGUUUGUACUAUCACAGUAUAGGUACCUUGUAUUUGCCAUUUUAAGCAUAUAAUACAACAUGUUUUGAACAAGGAUUGUCUUAUUUGGCUAUGUCGGCUUUUUGUUGUUAUUUACUUAUUUAUUUUUUUGAGUUGCCCAGACUGGAGGGCAAUAGUGUAAUCUAGGCUCACUGCAACCUCUGCCUCCUGGUUCAAGCAAUUUUCCUGCCUCAGCCUCCCCAGUAGCUGGGAUUAUAGGCACGUGCCACCACCACCUGACUAACUUUUGUAUUUUUAGUAGAGACAGGGUUUCACCAUGUUGGCCAGGCUGAUCUCAAACUCUUGAAGUCAAGUGAUCCGCCUGCCUCAACCUCCCAAAGUGAAGCUUUUUAUUUUUAAUUUUUUUAUUUUCAAUUUUUGUGGGUACAUAGUAGAUGUAUAUAUUUGUGGGUAUGUAAGUUUUAUAGCCCCUGGUACUUUGCUUUGUAAAAUAGGUUCUCAGUAAUAUUUUGAGAAUAUUAAAUUGAAUUUAGACCUGUAAUACUGUCUUGUUAAAAAAUGAAAUCUUGCUGCUUUGGAGAAUGUUUUAAAAUGGCACAAUCUGGGCUGGGCACGGUGGCUCACGCCUGUAAUCCCAGCACUUUGGGAGCCUGAGGUGGGUGGGUCACCUGAGAUCAGGAGUUUGAGAUCAGCCUGGCCAACGUGAUGAAACCCUGUCUCUACUAAAGAUACAAAAAUUAACCGGGUGUGGGUGGCGGGCACCUGUAGUCCCAGUUACUCGGGAGGCUGAGGCAGGAGAAUCGCUUGAACCUGGGAGGCGGAGGUUGCAGUGAGCCUAGAUUGUGCCAUUGCACUCCAGCCUGGGCGACGAGAGCAAAACUCUGUCUAAAAAAAAAAAAAAUGGGCACAAUCUGUUGGAAAGAGCUUGGGAUUUGGAAUUGGGGGACCUAGGUUUAAGGCCCAGCCCCACAGUCUACUAGAUGAGUAACAUUGGAUGGGUUUUCCAAUUUCUGAUCCUUCAUAACCCUGUUGUGUGUGUAUCAUCUACCUUGGACGUUUCUUGAAGAGAUUAAGAUGUUGGGUGUAGUAGCUUAUAAACAGCAAAGUACUUUAUAAAUAUUAUUUUAAAUUCUUGUAAUUUUUCUUAGUAAAGCAUGUAUACAUUUUACCUAAGAGGAACUUGGGGAGUUAUUAAAUUUUUAAAUUUUUGAAAAAUUGUCUCAAGACUAUGAUCUCCUUUGAUUUUUGUGGACAAAUUAUUGAACUUUCUUGAUUUACUAUUACAUCUUUGGACUGCAGUUUCUACCUCUGAUCUAAACACAUGAAUCUAAAUUGAUUAUCUCUUUGAAAAAUCUACUUAGCUUUAGCACGUAAAUAGAAAAUACCAUUGGGAUAAUUUAUGGAAGUAGUAUUCAUCAUUAUAUGGGAAGUUACUCAUAAGAGAUUUUUUUUUUUUUUUUUUUAGUGUUCUUCCAGACUUGGCAAUUAGAUUACAUUUAGACCGUCGAAUUAAAAGUGAUUCCCUGUGAGCUGUCCUAGCAAAUUAUGAAAUUGAAGAGAGGGGUUGCGGGAACCCUAGUUUCCUACCAUGAGACAGUUUGACUUACUUUUCUUUAAAAGUUGAAAAUUCUCAUAUGGGCAUUAUUUAUCUCAUGCUUGGUAUUGGAGUCUUUCCCUGGGUAUUCAUAGUACACUUGAGGAAACUAAGACUUUGACCCUUUUAAUAGCAAGUUUGUCUGUAUGUGGGGGUAUGAGCUGUCUUGGUUGCUAAGUGCACUAGUGGAAAGGAUGAAUUACUAUAAAACCCCGAUAAAAUAUGUGCUGUGAAGGGUCUGGAAAUGAUAAUGGUACAAAUUUUUUUUAAAUGUUUUUUAUGUUCUUGAAAGCUGUAAGUGUGUGUAGGACAUAUGAAAUACAGAUUUUUUUUCUUUUUCUUGAGACAGAGUCUCUCUCUGUCGCCCAGGCUAGAGUGCAGUGGGACGAUCUCAGCUUAUUGCAACCUCCGCCUCCCAGGUUUGAGGAAUUCUUCCUCAGCCCCCUGAGUAGCUGGGAUUACAGGCGUGCACCACCAUGCCUGGCUAAUUUUUUGUAUUUCUAGUAGAGACGGGGUUUCACCAUGCUGGCCAGGCUGGUCUCGAACUCCUGACCUCGUGAUCUGCCUGCCGCAGCCUCCCAAAGUGUUGGGAUUACAGGCGUGAGCCACCGCGCCCAGCUGAAAUACAGACUUUUUUUUUUUUUUUUUUUAGAAGUGUUAUACUAGGCUGGGGACAGUGGCUCAUGUCUGUAAUCCUAGUACACUUUGUGAGGCUGAGGCAGGUGGAUUGCUUGAGGCCAGGAGUUGGAGACCAGCCUGGCCAACAUGGUGAAACCCCAUCUCUACUAAAAAUACAAAAAUUAGGUGGGCAUGGUGACUGGCGUCUAUAAUCCCAGCUGCUCGGGAGGCUUAGGCAGGAGAAUUGCUUGAACCUAGGAGGUGGAGGUUGCAGUGAGCUGAGAUUGUGCCACUGCACUGACACCUGGCGACAGAGUGAGACUCCGUCUCAAAACAAAAACAAAAACUAAGGGAAAAAGAGGGAGGACUGGCAUGGUGUGGUGGCUCACAUUUGUAAAUCUUGAGGCAGGAGGAUUGCUUGAGCCCAGGAGUUCAAGACCAGCCUGGGCAACAUAGUGAGACCCCGUCUCUAUUAAAAAAAAUAAUAGUAAAAAAGAGGGAAAUGGCAGCUGAGUAGGCAGCCUCAAUAUCUUUUCCUGAUUAGUAAUAUAAUUGACUGUAAGACCUGAGGGAGAAGAUGAGCCUAGAGUACAAAUGCUGCUGCCACCCCCUGAGGUCUGGAGGGAUUGGCUGAAAAAACAGGGUGAACUAGGAGCUAAGCAGGCCCAUUCUUUUUUUUUUUUUUUUUCUUUUCAUGGAGAUGGAGUCUCACUCUGUGGCCCAGGCUGUAGUGUGGUGGUACUAUCUCAGUUUACUGCAACCUCCGCCUUCUGGGUUCCAGCGAUUCUCCUGCCUCAGUGUCCCGAGUAGCUGGGACUACAGGUGCACACCGCCAUGCCUGGCUAAUUUUUUGUAUUUUAGUAGAGACGGGGUUUCACCAUAUUGCCCAGGCUGGUCUCAAACUCCUGAGCUCAUGCAAGCCACAUGCCUUGGCCUCUCAAAGUGCAAGGAUUACAGGUGUGAACCAUCACGCCUGGCUUCAGGCCCAUUCUUUUUUUUUUUUUUUUUUUUUGAGACGGAGUCUUGCUCUGUUGCCCAGGCUGGAGUGCAGUGGCGCCAUCUCCACUCACUGCAAGCUCUGCCUCCCGGGUUCAUGCCAUUCUCCUGCCUCAGCCUCCAGAGUAAGCUGGGACUACAGGCACCCGCCACCACGCCCGGCUAAUUUGUGCAUUUUUAGUAGAGACGGGGUUUCACCAUGUUGCCCAGGCUGGCCUCGAACUCCUGACCUCGUGAUCCACCUGCCUCGGCCUCCCAAAGUGCUGGAAUUACAGGCAUAAGCCACCAUGCCUGGCCUUGAAACCAUCUUUCAAAAUGUGGUCUUUUUGCAGUACAGCUGGGAUGUCUCUGUCUUUCCCACCAUGCACCUUUGUAAAGGGGCGGCUUCUGUCUCGCUGGUGUAACAGAUUUCUUCCCUGUGUCCCCUUUCUCUUCUGUCAAUGAAUCAUGGGUGGCUGUCGGCUGGGGACCACUCUCAGUGUCUCAUACACUGAAUGCAACAUGGACACAAACUUAUGAUAGGGCCAGGUGGGGGACAGCAAGAGGUGAGCACCGGAAAUUGCAUGAGCUAGGAGUCACUGGCUGGUGGUGGGUGAGGGACACGUGGUAGGGACAGUUUAGCAGCUGGAUCAGGGUGGAAAUCCAAAUCCUGACAGCUGAGAAGUGGCACAGACCUGCUUCUGUGAGGACAAGUGUCCCCUGGCCCUGGCCAACUGGCCUCCAGGGGGUAUUGUUGGAAUAUGCGGUCAUCCCAAAGCACUUCAGCUUGAAGAAGAUCUAGGACACAGUUUGUUGUUACCACCUCAGAGCAUUUAGAUGGGACGUGAUGGAUGGAAUUGAAGUUGAAAACCCAUUCACCAUUUCUAGUUAGUACAGUAGGCUCCUAAUUUACAGAAAUGCUUGUGAAAUUGAGAAUCAUGAUAAAAUCCUCAUACCUCCUCCUCUUUUGACCAAAUCUUUCUAAAAUGCACAAUUAUAAUUUCUUAUCUUUAGGAAAAAGUAAUUAUGUUAUAUGUGUUAUAUACACUAUGUAAAUAUAGUUCAUUAAAUCAUUCUUUGGUGUUUGAAGACUUUCUAAUUCAUUACUUCAUUCCAGACAUCAAUGACAACAGCACAUACCGAGCAGGUACACAUAUGAGCUACCUACUAAUAUGCCCUGAUUUUGAUUGUAUUUUGUGAAAACCUUGGUAUGGGUUAUUUUUAAAUGAAUGUUUUCCCAAAUUUUAAGCUGAAACUAGGAUGCAUCAAAAUUAUCUUGGUCAUAAUCUUGUCAAUGAUGUCAUCUAAAGGCCACCAGGAACACACCUGUAGCCCAGCAAAGUUGAGGCCAUCGACUGGCUCAUCACAACAAGGAAGGCUGUGCACCACUGGGACCCAGCAGCAGCUCAGCAGCAGCAGUGAGAGGGCCUUGGGAAAGACUUGGAGGGUUUGGCUUAUACAAGGUGAUCUUGGGGAGGGUCAAGGAAACAGGCUGUGAUGGUUAAUAUUGAGUGUCAACUUGAUUGGAUUGAAGGAUGCAAAGGAUUGUUCCUGGGUGUAUAUGUGAGAGUGUGGCCAAAGGAGAUUAACAUUUUAGUCAGUGGACUGGGAGAGGCACACCCACCCUCAAUCUGGGUGGGCAUCAUCUAAUCAGCUGCCACAGCAGCUAAAAUAAAGCAGGCAGAAGUUGGAAUGAGCAGACUUGCUGAGUGUUCCAGCCUUCAUCUUUCUCCCAUGCUGGAUGCUUCCUGCCCUCGAACAUCAGACUCCAAGUUCUUCAGCUUUUUUUUUUUUUUUUGGACUCUUGGACUUACAGCAUUGGUUUGCCAGGGGCUCCCAGGCCUCUAGCCGCAGACUGAAGGCUGCACUGUGAGCCUCCCUACCUUUGAAGUUUGGGACUCAGACUGGCUUCUUGGCUCCUCAGCUUGCAGUCGGCCUAUUGUGAGACUUCCCCUUGUGAUCAUGUGAGCCAAUUCUCCUGAUAAACUCACCUUCAUAUAUACAUCUAUCCUAUUAGUUCUAUCCGUUUAGAGAACCCUGACUAAUACACAGGCCAUGCUCAGAUGGAGUGCUGUCUGGAAAUGGGAGUAAUUCUGUGGUUGAAUGUCUUAAUUGUCCUGGAAGGUGGGAGAAAUGGAAUGAGGCUGGUGCUACAAUUGAUGUAAAAGCAGCAGCUGCUCACAUAAGCCGGGGUGGAGGAUGCCUAGGCGUAUUUGUGGUAUUGACCAUGUUCUUGUUUUUGUUUGUGACCAGACCAGAUUACAGAGGGGUAUUGAUUUGCCUUGCCCCCGCCCCCACCAUCACAGUGUGUCCCUGUCCAGUGUUGGUGCUGUGUGGCAUUGCUUGUGUCCAUAGGAGUCCAUCAAGGCAGAGCGGCAGAGCGGCAAGCAGAGCGGCAAGGCAGGUCAGCUUCCGGCUCUUCCAGGCUGCAUGUCCCCCUCAAUAUCCUUUCAACCCAAUGGAAAUGGAUUGAAAGAGUGAAAGUCACUGGUCUCAAAGAAUCUACGGAAUUUAGCAUUUUGAAAAUCACAGAGCAAUUUUGGGUAGGUAUUCACAUGCACUAAAAAACCAGGCAAACAUCUGACUCCCAGGAUAAAGUGACUGAGAGCAGUAGAAGACUUGUUGAGCCUUAAGGAAUAAGAGGAAAAUUAUGUUAUGAAGUGCAGGAACAGCACAGACCCAGACGAGGGGAUGCAGCCCGGAGCCAGUAACCCGGCGCCUCCUCCUCCCCAGGGCGCAGCGCUGGCUGCUCCCCGGAUACCGUGAUCACACGUCCCAGGUCCUGAGAGCGCCUCAUAGGUAGACAGUUCUUUGGGACUUUUGGGACGCAGCACUUGAAGAGAGGUUUACCUAAACUUUCCUCCUGGGAGCCUGUCAUCAUUUGAAAGUAACAGAAGAAAGCUGUCAGGCUGAGGAAAGUUUCAACAGGCACUUGGUGAGAAUGGGAAGCAUCCAUUCAUUGGGAAAUCACGGGGACAGAGGAGGAAUUCACGGGAUCAGAGCACUGAGAAACUCCAGAGGCUUCUGGUUCACCGCCCUGAUUCCACAGAUGUGGGUCAGAGGCAGAGAUGGAAGUUGGAAUGGACAAGCCUGCCCUCUCCUCAGCUCUCCAUGGCUCUGUCCUCAGGCUGUUUCUGCAAUUUGACAUGAGGCCUGGCCCCAGGGAAACCAGUGGGGCCUCAUCUCCUCCCUGUGCUGCUCUGAGGUGGAGCCUUCUCAGGGUCAGUCCAGCUCUGGAGCCCCUCUCCAGCUCGGUCACCAAAGCUGUCUGGUCCCAGGGCAGUGUGGAGUGACAGGCACGCCAGCCAAUCCAAUCGGCCAUUUCAUACCCAAUGCAUGUGACUGAUAAAGAGAUAACACCCUGUCUCCAAGACACAGGCUUUACAUAAACAGCUUUAAUGACUUCUUCACUUAGGGACAAGACUCCUUAGUGGUGGAACCUCAGGCAUCCAUGCAGGAUGUAAGAAAGCUCCCGUAUAUACAUGAACUGAGAAGUGUGUAGAAGAGUAAAUACUGUAAUAGGUAAUAAAAUGUAUGUAUUUUUAUUUAUGUGCUACUUUGUCUUUCUCCCUCUCUGUGUAUAUACACAUACAUACAAAAAUGUAUUCAUUCUAUGGAAAACAUGAAAGAUGUAAUAUUCUUUACAUAUUUAAUUAAUGUAUUUUUUCUGAUCAUAUGAACACCACAAAUAUAAUUUUAUAAUUUUUUUACCUAACAAUAAGUCUUAAACAUAAAUAUACAUGGACAAUAUCAUAGUUUUUUUUUUAAUCAUAAUUAAAAUGGUUGUGAAACAUUCCACUUUAAUUCAUUCCUCCUAAUCCCUAGGGUGGUACAUUAAGUGAGGGUUUCUCAGCCUCGGUACCAUGGGCAGUUUGGGUUAGCCCAUCCUUUUCAGAGACACUGCCCUGGACACUGCAGGAUGUGGCUUCACAUUCUGGUCUCUGCCCACUGGAUGCCAGAAACAUCCCUUCCCCUUAGCUGUGGUAAUCAACACUGUCACUAGACAUUGCCAAAUGUCCCCUGGAGGACAAAAUCACCCUAGGUUGAGAACCAGUGGCAUUUUUUUUAAACUAUCAUUGUAAGACAAAGCCACCUGAACUUCCUUGCUGAUGUCUCUUCACUUCUUUUUUUUUUUUUUUUUUGAGACAGAGUCUUGCUCUGUUGCCCAGGCUGGAGUGCAGUGGCAUGAUCUCGGCUCACUGCAAGCUCCGCCUCCCAGGUUCACACCAUUCUCCUGCCUCAGCCUCCUGAGUAGCUGGGAUUACAGGCGCCCGCCACCACACCUGGCUAAUUUUUUUGUGUUUUUAGUAGAGACGGGGUUUCACCAUGUUAGCCAGGAUAGGCUCGAUCUCCUGACCUCAUGAUCCGCCCACCUUGGCCUCCCAAAGUGCUGGGAUUACAGGCAUGAGCCACCACGCCUGGCCUCAACUUCUAUCUAAUUCUAUUCAGAGGGAAAAUUUCUAGAAGCGACAUUCCUGUUGCAGAGAAGAGAUAUUCACUUGAGAACCUUGAUAUAUAUUUGCCAAAUUUCUGUCCAAGUAUCAUUUUUAAAAAGUUAAAAACAUGACUUUCAUAGAAACACAUACGGAGCAUAUGUCAAAGAUGUAUUUCUCUAAUGCAAUGAGACAGCCAGCAAGACAGUGAGGCUGCAGCAGCAUGGGGACAGAGUGCAGAAAGAGGUCGCAGAAGCCUUGGAAGAACGUCAUUCAGUCAUACAAGGACACCCUGAUGCUUGCGCUGCGGUCCUUUCCAAGUCCACGGGGCGUUGUUCCUUUGUGUCAACACCAGAUAAGACUCAUGGGGAUUGCUGUCAGUGUUGUGUAUGUUAUAAUACCAGGGACCCUCACAUGGCUGUGUUAGAUUCUAACCAAUAGAAAAUAAUAAGUCAAAGCAAAGACCGUUACUGAUUCCUUCCAUUGUUUCUUUAGAGACUUUGGUUUAGUGCUCUAAACUUUCUGAUUAUCAGAUCUUAUGUGUUUGCUAAUAUAUAAAAUAACAAAUUAGGCAUAAUGCCCUAUAAUUUUCUGCUUGAUUAAUUGCCUGAAAUUUGAUCUAUCAGUCAGUGUUUGAUUAGAAUAGAGAAAUCACAUGUAAUUUGAACAAGGAAAGAUUAAUACGAAGAAUUGCUAGCUAUAACAGGGUUUGGAGCAAUGAGGAUUGGCUAGUAAAAAGUAAAGAGAACUCUAAGGAAUAUAAGAAUAACAGAUAAAAGGAGCGUCAACCCCUGGGGUUGAGAUACAACAUCCAGGGCCUCUGGGAUUCAGAUCCAGACCCUGUUUGAGGGGGCAUGGCUGUGGCUCACUGAAUGAAGAGAAGUUGCUGUGGUAGAAAUCUGUCUCAUCAGAAUCACUCUGCUGUAAUACUGCCUUGUGGAGGUACUGGUGGAAGAUACUCGGUGCUGCUGACUGCUAUGCACUUCAGGAGCCUGACAAUGGAGCAAACUGCACGGGUUCUGGAUCUGGACACUGGAGAAGCUGUGUUGCAGUACAGAAGCCUGCCAAGAGGAGCACACAAGACUCUUGGAAAGAAGAGGAAAAUCUCCUCUUACAAUGUCGAUCUAAGAUCAUGCCAACUAGCAAAGGAAAAAUGUUUAAAGGGUCCAAGUUCAUUUCUGCAGAGCAGACAUGAAAGGUUGAAUUCAGAGCUGAGAGACAAUAAGUGGACAACUGGCACAUUUGGUCAAACUUGUAAUUUUAUAUCUUAGAUGGACAAAUUAAACACAAGUCCAUAGGUGUUUUCCUUACAAGCUUACAUUUAAAUUUGGGAUCCUGGUCAGAAUUUUGCUAAGGACUUCAUUCUUUCCCAGUGUUUCAGGAAGGAUACCCUGGGGCCAGAGCCACUUUUCUUUAUUGUAAGGUCCUGGGCUGUGGCCCCUUUUGCUUUUCUGGGCUCCUUUCUCAUGGGCAUCUGUUUUGGGAGCUUCAUUUCCUCAUCUGCUUUGACACUUUAAUCUUGGACAUUGUAGUGAAAUGCUUCACAUUGUCACACAUUCUAAUCUCAGAGACCACUCCAAAUCUUUUUGAAUUUUCUUGGCCAUUGGAAUUAGUACUCUGGAAUCAGUACAUUAAGAAUGGUUUUUUAAAAACUAUCAGCUAGAAUUUCCACAUUUUAGAAGAAAUGGUCAGUAUAAAUUUGGAGAAGCAGUUUCUAGCUAGUAGUAGCUGUGCAGAAAAACAGUUUUAUUGAUAAGUAUCUGAUUUGGAUUUAGGAUCCAGCUAGGAUGAAAAAUUCAAUUGAGGUCUGGCCAGAUAGACAUAAAUUUUAUUUUUCCUUUAUAUUCUGUGUCCAAAAGACAAAUUGUCAUGAGUUAUUAUUUUUUUCCUGAAGUAUCCGUUUGUUUCUCAGCUUUGGAAUUAGAGGUGUAGAAAAUAAACGGGACUCAACAGCCUAAGAUUUUGUUUAAAAAGAUGUUCUUAUUUAUUUAUAUUUAAAAAUUUCUAAACUUUUUUUUUGCAAGAAACUGUAUGUCAGCAUUUUCAUUUUUGAUAGAUAAAUUUUAUAUUUGGGAUUUUGAUUAUUAAGUUGUUUCUCCACCAGAAUUCCUUAUGGAUUUUUGUAAUAAUCUGUAUUUAGUGUGUUUAAUUAUUUGCUUUCCAUUUAUAUUUAUUUUGGGAUUUCUUUUUUAAGAGAAUGGCACCUGUGACAGCAUACUGUUAAUAUUACCCUUGUAUCGUACUUUACCAUGCCAUCUCUGAAGAAUAUUACAGACCAUUUUGGAGCAUGGUGAAUAACAAAUUUUUACCUUAGGAGUUCACUUGAAUAGUCAUUUUUAUAUUUGUGACUGCAAGUCACUUUUAGGGGCUGUACUUCCUUAGUACUGGUAGCAUUAUUAUCCAAUGGACUUUUAAAGCUUUCAUUAGGUUUUCUUUUGUUUUUGUUCUUUAAAGAACAUUUUACUUAACUUAGUAUUUCAUUUUUCAUCUAUAUUAUGAGGCAGUAAGAGUCUUCUGUUUUUCCAAAGUUGAGACUGCUUUAUAUUUAUUUCAUAUUGUCUACAGCUGUAGUGUUCAAUACAUUAGCCACUAGCCACAUGUGGUUAUUUAAAUACGAUAAAAUAAAAACUGGCCGGUCGUGGUGGCUCACGCCUGUAAUCCCAGCACUUUGGGAGGCCGAGGCGGGCAGAUCAUGAGGUCAGGAGAUCGAGACCAUCCUUACUAAGAUGGUGAAACCCCAUCUCUAUUAAAAAUACAAAAAAUUAGCCGGGCGUGGUGGCGGGCGCCUGCAGUCCCAGCUACUCAGGAGGCUGAGGCAGGAGAAUGGCGUGAACCUGGGAGGCAGAGUUUGCAGUGAGCCGAGAUGGUGCCACUGCACUCCAGCCUGGGGGACAGAGCGAGACUCCAUCUCAAAAAAAAAAAAAAAAAAUUAUUAAGUUCUUUAGUUGCACUAGCCAUAUUUCAAAUACUUGAUGGAUACAUGUGGCUAGUGGCUAACAUAAUGGAUAGCACAGAUAUAAAACAUUUCCUCCUCAUAUAAAGUUCUAUUGGAUAGUGCUGGUCUGUAGCUUAUAGGAUGGUAUCUUAGUCUCCUUCAGCUGCUAAAACAGAAUACCAUAAAUUAGGUAGCUUAAACAGUAGGUAUUUUGACCAGGCGUGGUGGCUUAUGCCUGUAUUCCUAACACUUUGGGAGGCCGAGGCAGGUGGAUAACUUGAGCUCAGGAGUUUGAGACUAGCCUGGGCAGCAUUUCAAAACCUUGUCUCUACAAAAAUUAGCUGGGCAUGGUGGUGCACGCCUGUAGUCUGAGCUACUUGGGAGGCUGAGGUGGGAGAAUUGCUUGAACCUGGGAGGCGGAGGUUGCAGUGAGCCAUGAUCGCACCCCUGUACUCCAGCCUGGAUGACAGAAUGAGACUCUGUCUCAAAAAAAAAAAAAAAAACAAAAAACAAAAAAAAACAAGAGAUAUUUCUCACAGUUCUGGAGGCUGGAAGUGCAAGAUCAAAGUGUUGGCAAAUUACGUUUCUUAAAGAGGGUCUGCUUCCUAGAUUGGAAAUGGCCAUCUUCUCUCAGUAUCCUCACAUGGUAGGGAGAAAAGCAGCUCUAGUGUCUCUUCUUAUAAAGGAAGUAAUGCCACCAUAGGGGCUCUAUUCUCAUGACCUCAUCUAAACCUAAUUCUCUCCUAAAGGCCACGCCUCCCAAUAUCCUCACCUUGGGGGUUAGG
Molecule: long non-coding RNA, 15957 nt
Filed under: Homo sapiens (human)
Lineage: Eukaryota; Metazoa; Chordata; Mammalia; Primates; Hominidae
Description: non-protein coding lnc-RAB23-53:13
Source: RNAcentral